Molecule: ribosomal RNA, 228 nt
Filed under: Lactiplantibacillus plantarum
Lineage: Bacteria; Bacillati; Bacillota; Bacilli; Lactobacillales; Lactobacillaceae
Description: Lactobacillus plantarum partial 16S ribosomal RNA
Rfam family: Bacterial small subunit ribosomal RNA
Source: RNAcentral
UGAUUGGUGCUUGCAUCAUGAUUUACAUUUGAGUGAGUGGCGAACUGGUGAGUAACACGUGGGAAACCUGCCCAGAAGCGGGGGAUAACACCUGGAAACAGAUGCUAAUACCGCAUAACAACUUGGACCGCAUGGUCCGAGUUUGAAAGAUGGCUUCGGCUAUCACUUUUGGAUGGUCCCGCGGCGUAUUAGCUAGAUGGUGGGGUAACGGCUCACCAUGGCAAUGAU